UACGAAGGAGGCUAGCGUUGCUCGGAAUCACUGGGCGUAAAGCGCACGUAGGCGGCUUUCUAAGUCAGGGGUGAAAUCCUGGAGCUCAACUCCAGAACUGCCUUUGAUACUGGAGAGCUUGAGUCCGGAAGAGGUGAGUGGAACUCCGAGUGUAGAGGUGAAAUUCGUAGAUAUUCGGAAGAACACCAGUGGCGAAGGCGGCUCACUGGUCCGGUACUGGACGCUGAUGUGCGAAAGCGUGGGGAGCAAACAGG
RNAcentral lists this ribosomal RNA (254 nucleotides) under uncultured bacterium. RNAcentral's name for it is "partial 16S ribosomal RNA". It matches the Rfam family "Bacterial small subunit ribosomal RNA", at positions 524 to 776 of the family's 1533-position model. The record is from RNAcentral.